CUACGAAAACUGUGCAAUGUGGGAAACCACGACACGGGCAUACCGAGUGCCAACGCUUUGCGUUGGCUGUUCUCUCGCCUAAAAAGCGAGAGAAGUAAGGGCCGGGUAAGACGGGUGCCAGCCGCCGCGGUAAUACCCGCGGCCCGAGUGGUGCUCAUUAUUAUUGAGCUUAAAGCGUCCGUAGCCGGCCUCGUAAAUCUUUGGGUAAAUCGGGCAGCUUAACUGUUCGAAUUCCGAGGAGACUGCGAGGCUCGGGACCGGGAGAGGUUCGAGGUACUCCGGGGGUAGGGGUAAAAUCCUGUAAUCCUCAGAGGACCACCAGUGGCGAAGGCGUCGAACUAGAACGGAUCCGACGGUGAGGGACGAAGCCCUGGGGCGCAAACGGG
RNAcentral lists this ribosomal RNA (386 nucleotides) under uncultured Thermoplasmata archaeon. Its description in RNAcentral is "bacterial SSU rRNA". It matches the Rfam family "Archaeal small subunit ribosomal RNA", at positions 339 to 727 of the family's 1478-position model. The record is from RNAcentral. Lineage: Archaea; Methanobacteriati; Thermoplasmatota; Thermoplasmata.